This is a non-coding RNA of Jatropha curcas, 503 nucleotides long. The record is from RefSeq and is a predicted model, not a curated record. NCBI's taxonomy places the organism in Eukaryota, Viridiplantae, Streptophyta, Magnoliopsida, Malpighiales, Euphorbiaceae.
CCACUUUGACUUGUGUGUUGUGUUCAAUUGUAUUGCGAAUCAAGUUUGGUGCCACCAAUGGAAUGGUGGUGCUGCAGACACUUCUAUUGAUUCUUCACUACUAAAUAACAACAAUGGAAAUGAUUUCUGUUUGUUCUUUUUCCCAAAUGGAAAUAAUAUGCUGUGAUAGAGAAAAAUUAGACAUGUUUUGAAAAAUAACCAUGGUGACAUUGUGUCCUUACUAAGCUGUAACCUUCAAGGAUGAGGUGAUGCCAUUCUUUAUAGGUUUUUCGUGCUGCAGUUGUGGCUUUGAGAAGCACUGUGCCUCUUUUACUUCAUGCCUUUUCUUGAACAGCAGUGCAAGGAUAAUGUCCUGAUACUUUAAAGGCAUCAAGAAUACCGAAAAAAUAAAAAAUAUGGACACAAAAGAUAUCCUUUUCAUAUGUGGUGGGGCAUUUGUUAAUUUGGAGAAAACCAUUUCAGAAAGACGACAAGAUUGCUUUCCAUUCGCUUGUGGAGCACCA